Non-coding RNA from Obba rivulosa, 108 nucleotides. Lineage: Eukaryota; Fungi; Basidiomycota; Agaricomycetes; Polyporales; Gelatoporiaceae. The record is from the annotation of a GenBank genome assembly.
GGGCACUUGGCACAGUGGUAGCGCGCACGCUUCGCAAGUUCUUGCAGCCCAGGUUGCAUUGUGCUAUGUAAUUGCGUGAGGUCCAGGGUUCAAUCCCCUGAGUGUCCA